CUCUCCACAGUCUGUUCAAUGGCAGCACCAACUGCCCCCUGGGUCUCAACAUCAGAGUUGCCAGGGUUACUGGUUGAAAGCACCAUCUGAGAGUAAACUGGAGUUUUGGUUAUGGCUGAGGAGACGCAGGAAGGGGAGCGCUGUCACCGGGAGGAGGUGGCCUGGUCAGAAAGGAACCUCAAAUUCUAGGAGACUACUAGCACAACUAUCAAUUAUGGAAGAACAAAAGAUUAAGAAAGCAGGAAUAUUCAACGGCGGUUUGUGUCUGCUCACCAGGCUGAAGGAGUC
This is a long non-coding RNA of Micropterus salmoides (largemouth bass), 288 nucleotides long. RefSeq lists it as uncharacterized. The transcript is spliced from 3 exons. The record is from RefSeq and is a predicted model, not a curated record. Lineage: Eukaryota; Metazoa; Chordata; Actinopteri; Centrarchiformes; Centrarchidae.